This 395-nucleotide unclassified non-coding RNA is filed under the name soil metagenome. RNAcentral's name for it is "partial contains 5.8S ribosomal RNA, internal transcribed spacer 2, and large subunit ribosomal RNA". The stretch from base 1 to 122 matches the Rfam family "5.8S ribosomal RNA", at positions 35 to 154 of the family's 154-position model. The record is from RNAcentral.
GAUGAAGAACGUAGCGAAAUGCGAUACUUGGUGUGAAUUGCAGAAUCCCGUGAACCAUCGAGUCUUUGAACGCAAGUUGCGCCCGAAGCCAUCAGGUUGAGGGCACGUCUGCCUGGGCGUCACAUAUCGUUGCCCAAUGCCUAUUGCAGUGCAAUAGGAAUUUCUAGGGCGAAUGAUGGCUUCCCGUGAGCGUUGUUGCCUCGCGGUUGGUUGAGAAUCGAGUCCUUGGUAGGGUGUGCCAUGGUAGAUGGUGGUCGAGUUAGAACGAUACCGAUCAUGUGCAUGCUCCCCAAAAUAUGGCCUCUAUGACCCACACGCGUCUUUUGACGCUCAUGACGAGACCUCAGGUCAGGCGGGGCUACCCGCUGAAUUUAAGCAUAUCAAUAAGCGGAGGA